AUCAACUUUCGAUGGUAGGAUAGAGGCCUACCAUGGUUUUAACGGGUAACGGGGAAUUAGGGUUCGAUUCCGGAGAGGGAGCCUGAGAAACGGCUACCACAUCCAAGGAAGGCAGCAGGCGCGCAAAUUACCCGAUCCCGACACGGGGAGGUAGUGACAAUAAAUAACAAUACGGGGCUCAUUUGGGUCUCGUAAUUGGAAUGAGUACAAUUUAAAUCCCUUAACGAGGAACAAUUGGAGGGCAAGUCUGGUGCCAGCAGCCGCGGUAAUUCCAGCUCCAAUAGCGUAUAUUAAAGUUGUUGCAGUUAAAAAGCUCGUAGUUGAACUUCGGGGUUUACCCAUUGGUCAGGCUUAAUUGUCUGCACUGGUGAGAUAAAUCUCUACCUUCUGAGGAACUUUCAUGCCAUUUAUUUGGUGUGAUGGGAAAUCAGGACUGUUACUUUGAAAAAAUUAGAGUGUUUAAAGCAGGCUAACGUCUGAAUACAUUAGCAUGGAAUAAUGAAAUAGGACGGACUGAUUCUAUUUCGUUGGUUUCUAGGAUCACCGUAAUGAUUAAUAGGGAUAGUUGGGGGCAUUAGUAUUCAAUUGUCAGAGGUGAAAUUCUUGGAUUUAUUGAAGACUAACUACUGCGAAAGCAUUUGGCAAGGAUGUUUUCAUUAAUCCAAGAACGAAAGUUAGGGGGAUCGAAGACGAUCAGAUAACCGUCGUAGUCUUAACCCAUAAACUAUGCCGACUAGGGAUCGGACGAAAGUUAAUUUUUA
RNAcentral lists this ribosomal RNA (761 nucleotides) under uncultured Diversispora. Its description in RNAcentral is "SSU rRNA". It matches the Rfam family "Eukaryotic small subunit ribosomal RNA", at positions 314 to 1073 of the family's 1831-position model. Lineage: Eukaryota; Fungi; Glomeromycota; Glomeromycetes; Diversisporales; Diversisporaceae. The record is from RNAcentral.